This 388-nucleotide ribosomal RNA is filed under the name Lactiplantibacillus plantarum. RNAcentral describes it as "bacterial SSU rRNA". It matches the Rfam family "Bacterial small subunit ribosomal RNA", at positions 69 to 438 of the family's 1533-position model. Lineage: Bacteria; Bacillati; Bacillota; Bacilli; Lactobacillales; Lactobacillaceae. The record is from RNAcentral.
AUUGAUUGGUGCUUGCAUCAUGAUUUACAUUUGAGUGAGUGGCGAACUGGUGAGUAACACGUGGGAAACCUGCCCAGAAGCGGGGGAUAACACCUGGAAACAGAUGCUAAUACCGCAUAACAACUUGGACCGCAUGGUCCGAGCUUGAAAGAUGGCUUCGGCUAUCACUUUUGGAUGGUCCCGCGGCGUAUUAGCUAGAUGGUGGGGUAACGGCUCACCAUGGCAAUGAUACGUAGCCGACCUGAGAGGGUAAUCGGCCACAUUGGGACUGAGACACGGCCCAAACUCCUACGGGAGGCAGCAGUAGGGAAUCUUCCACAAUGGACGAAAGUCUGAUGGAGCAACGCCGCGUGAGUGGAGAAGGGUUUCGGCUCGUAAAACUCUGUUG